AAAAGUGGAAAUAAAAAAGAUUUCUUUCGAAUAAUUCGGCCACUUUUCUUAACGAUUUACAAAAAAAAAAACAACACUCAAUUGAGACAUCCACUUUAAAAAAAAAUAUACAUAAGUCAUUUGGUUUCGUCGUCAUCGUCGUCGUUGUUGUUGUUGUUGAUGAUGAUGAUGAUGAUGAUUCACAACUAUUUCCACACACUAAAGCCGCCUAAAGUUUUGAGUGUUUUUAUUCGUUUUCUUGGUUUUUAUCCAAUUCCAAUUAUAUUUACUGUCUUUGAUGAUGAGAUGAUUCGAUUGUUUCUGUAUACACAUGAUGAUUUCGAGAAUAUGAUAUUUCCGAAACAAACAAACAAAAAUGGAUCGAUCAUUUUUAUGAUGAUGAUGAUGAUGAUGAUGAUGAUCAAAAUAUUUUGAAUUGUUAACAAAAUAUUAGAAUAAGAAAAAAAAUCAAUCGAUCAUUGCUGAUUAUGAAGAAGAAAAAAUGAUAAUUAUCGAAUCAAAUUCAAAUUCAAAUCCAAGAAAUGAAUUAGUUUGUCAUUCCACCAGUAGCCAAAUGAUGGACAACAACAACAAAAAAAAAACCGAAUCGAAUUCAUUUGAAUAUUAUAUUGGAUAUAUAUAUAUUUGGGUGCGUCCUCAUGAAUUGAAUGAUGAUGAUGAUAACCGUUACAAAUUUAACCGUAACAAAUAUACCUAAAUACAUGACAUGUGUAUAUGUUGUCCGAAUUAUAUUAACUCUGUCACCAAUUUACAAAUACCGUGAUUGGCGGCUCUCUCUCUUUCUGGUACCCAGG
Molecule: non-coding RNA, 794 nt
Organism: Dermatophagoides farinae (American house dust mite)
Lineage: Eukaryota; Metazoa; Arthropoda; Arachnida; Sarcoptiformes; Pyroglyphidae
Source: RefSeq, a predicted model, not a curated record